Molecule: ribosomal RNA, 1437 nt
Filed under: uncultured organism
Description: 16S ribosomal RNA
Rfam family: Bacterial small subunit ribosomal RNA
Source: RNAcentral
UGCUUAACACAUGCAAGUCGAACGGAAAGGCCCUGCUUUUGUGGGGUGCUCGAGUGGCGAACGGGUGAGUAACACGUGAGUAACCUGCCCUUGACUUUGGGAUAACUUCAGGAAACUGGGGCUAAUACCGGAUAGGAGCUCCUGCUGCAUGGUGGGGGUUGGAAAGUUUCGGCGGUUGGGGAUGGACUCGCGGCUUAUCAGCUUGUUGGUGGGGUAGUGGCUUACCAAGGCUUUGACGGGUAGCCGGCCUGAGAGGGUGACCGGCCACAUUGGGACUGAGAUACGGCCCAGACUCCUACGGGAGGCAGCAGUGGGGAAUAUUGCACAAUGGGCGGAAGCCUGAUGCAGCAACGCCGCGUGCGGGAUGACGGCCUUCGGGUUGUAAACCGCUUUCGCCUGUGACGAAGCGUGAGUGACGGUAAUGGGUAAAGAAGCACCGGCUAACUACGUGCCAGCAGCCGCGGUGAUACGUAGGGUGCGAGCGUUGUCCGGAUUUAUUGGGCGUAAAGGGCUCGUAGGUGGUUGAUCGCGUCGGAAGUGUAAUCUUGGGGCUUAACCCUGAGCGUGCUUUCGAUACGGGUUGACUUGAGGAAGGUAGGGGAGAAUGGAAUUCCUGGUGGAGCGGUGGAAUGCGCAGAUAUCAGGAGGAACACCAGUGGCGAAAGCGGUUCUCUGGGCCUUUCCUGACGCUGAGGAGCGAAAGCGUGGGGAGCGAACAGGCUUAGAUACCCUGGUAGUCCACGCUGUAAACGGUGGGUACUAGGUGUGGGGUCCAUUCCACGGGUUCCGUGCCGUAGCUAACGCUUUAAGUACCCCGCCUGGGGAGUACGGCCGCAAGGCUAAAACUCAAAGGAAUUGACGGGGCCCCGCACAAGCGGCGGAGCAUGCGGAUUAAUUCGAUGCAACGCGUAGAACCUUACCUGGGUUUGACAUGGAUCGGGAGUGCUCAGAGAUGGGUGUGCCUCUUUUGGGGUCGGUUCACAGGUGGUGCAUGCCUGUCGUCAGCUCGUGUCGUGAGAUGUUGGGUUAAGUCCCGCAACGAGCGCAACCCUUGUUCACUGUUGUCAGCACGUUAUGGUGGGGACUCAGUGGAGACCGCCGGGGUCAACUCGGAGGAAGGUGGGGAUGACGUCAAGUCCUCAUGCCCCUUAUGUCCAGGGCUUCACGCAUGCUACAAUGGCUGGUACAGAGAGUGGCGAGCCUGUGAGGGUGAGCGAAUCUCGGAAAGCCGGUCUCAGUUCGGAUUGGGGUCUGCAACUCGACCUCAUGAAGUCGGAGUCGCUAGUAAUCGCAGAUCAGCAACGCUGCGGUGAAUACGUUCCCGGGGCUUGUACACACCGCCCGUCAAGUCAUGAAAGUUGGUAACACCCGAAGCCGGUGGCCUAACCGUUGUGGGGGAGCCGUCGAAGGUGGGACUGGUGAUUAGGACUAAGUCGU